Molecule: long non-coding RNA, 561 nt
Organism: Patiria miniata (bat star)
Lineage: Eukaryota; Metazoa; Echinodermata; Asteroidea; Valvatida; Asterinidae
Exons: 2
Source: RefSeq, a predicted model, not a curated record
CAAUAAUGUGUAAGUGGAAGUUCCUUUGAGUAUAUUAUGUCAUUUACGGGUGUAAGUAAUCCGUAACAGCAUUUUGUUGAGGGUGCAAUAAUAUUUUAGAGACACUUGGUGAUGUGUCCGCAUCGUGCGGGAGCGCGCGAAACAGGCACUGCUUGUCUUCCAACUUUUGGACGGCAGUCACUUAUUUUGUAGCCGGGAUUUUCUCGGUGAGAUUUCACCUUCCUCUUGCUGUUUGCCAGCAUAAUCAUGUGCUGAGAGGGAAGGUGGGCGCCUCUGGAACCUGUGGCAAUAUGUAGGCGCGGUCUACUGUGAGACCUUCAUUUAUUGCACCUGGGGAUCUUUACUAUACGGGAUCUUUACUAUACGGGAUCUUUUGCCUGGUGAUCUGUCUUUGCAUCGUGACCGGGAUCCACACACAUAGCACAUAUACUGGGGAAGUUUUGGGAUCAACAUCUGUUCAUCAUGUUCAUUAACUGCAACUGAUCUAAUUAACUCAUUGUUAUUCUACUGAUUUGCUGAUGAUUGAAUAAAUUCUCUAUUAAUCGCUGAAAUUGAACUGAA